This 253-nucleotide ribosomal RNA is filed under the name uncultured bacterium. Its description in RNAcentral is "partial 16S ribosomal RNA". It matches the Rfam family "Bacterial small subunit ribosomal RNA", at positions 524 to 776 of the family's 1533-position model. The record is from RNAcentral.
UACGGGGGGAGCAAACGUUGUUCGGAAUUACUGGGCGUAAAGCGUGCGUAGGCGGUUUGUUAAGUCCGUUGUGAAAGCCCUGGGCUCAACCUGGGAAUUGCAGUGGAUACUGGCGAGCUAGAGUGCGGUAGAGGAUGGUGGAAUUCCCGGUGUAGCGGUGAAAUGCGUAGAGAUCGGGAGGAACACCCGUGGCGAAGGCGGCCAUCUGGACCAGCACUGACGCUGAGGCACGAAAGCGUGGGGAGCAAACAGG